GUGGGGGCGAGUGAAAGUGGUUUUGGGGGCAGUUCGUGCGAGUCGGCCCCCCACGUUGAGAAUGCCCUGAAGUUUGUCUCCUGGUCAAGUUCAAUAGCGACUGUCUGGCUAUGUCUGGAAGCCCAGUGAUUUGCAUUGCUUGAAACUGGGUGUUCGGCUAAGUCCCCUCGGCACCCCCACCUCACCCUCCCGACCGUGGGAGAAAGGGUGCGGGCGUUCGCAUCUUUGCCUCGGAAAGGUUUCUUACAGGAGGUGGAUUUAGGGGGCAACUCGCGUCUAGUUGUGAACGAGCGUUUAGGGAAUCCGAAACUCGGGGAACCCUGGUGAUAGUCUACUCCCCGCCCCCGCACAACAUGCAUAGACACACUGCACAUCACAUGUACACACAAACACACACACGCACACGCCACUCCUCCCGCCCCGAUUUGCUUCCGGGAAAACAAGUCCGAGAGCAGCAGACACUUGCCAAAAGUCACGCAGCGAGGACGAAAGUGUACGGUGGAAAGAAUACCGAAGUCUGGGAUCGUGGGUUCUCUCCUGGCCAACACUGCCGCGGUGUGAAGGGAGCGAAUCAGAGAACUUCCCUGAGUUUCUUCAUCUGCAAGUGGGGCUGGUUGCCGCCAGAAGCCGGCCGGUGGGGGAAGGGUUCGGAACCGGUACGACCGCCUCAGCCGCGCCGGGAGAGGCCGAGAGUCCGCCACGCUCAGCCGUCGCGCGGGGGCGGUACUCCGGGCCCCCCAGGAUGAGCCGAGCCGAGAAACCCAGCACGAGAAAGUCCCCACCCACCUGCACCCUCUUCCGUGGGUCACCCCGCGCGUGGCAGGCCCUUGACAAAUAUCGUCCUGAAUUCUCCCCGCGAUCCUGGGAGUAUCCUCCCCAUUUUAUAGACGAGAGACUGAGGCUUACCAAGUGUAAGGGGCUUGACCGAGGUCCCAUAGGCGAAAAAAGUGGCAAACCAAGAACUUCUAACCGAAUAUAUCUGGCUGCAAAAUCCAGUCUUCUCCCAUCCCGCCGGUCACCAGUGAGACUGUAAAGGUCUUAAAGGAGAAGAAUAAAAAAAAAAAUAACCACACGAAUCAGAUUAACAGAUCGUAAGGAAUUGAAAGGGCCUUCCAGAGCUGCUGGUAUUUCAAACAAGUGGACUCGAACCACAGGAUAAGUAACAAACUACUUUUCCUGGGUGACCAAUCAUACUUUUUUUUUAAUUAAAAAUAUAUUUAUUAAAAUAGAUUACGAUGGAGAAGAAUAUAAUUUUCAAAAUAAUGAUAGCUGAAAACAGAAGACUUAAAAGAAAUGUCAGGCUGUUUCCACCUCGCACACCUUUCGUUCGAUUGCACACACAUUCUUGACAUCAAGUACAUAAACAGGCAAACUGAGGCCCGAAACCAGUCCCACUGAGAGCGAGAGGCCGAGUGGGAGGAGAACCGAGAUUUCCGGGCUCUCGGCCUGGGGUGCUUUCGGCUGGGGGCGGGGGUCCUGUUUGUAAACAGGUGUCCUCGGACAGCCACUGCCGAUUUUUGUCACUCUGCCAACCGGAGGGACGAUUCUGAGUAAUCGCUAGCAGUCAGCGCAGCUGGGGCUAAAAGCGAAAGGGACGCGCGCGCGACGGGCCCGGGAGGGCGACGGGUAAAGCGCGCAGGCGGG
Molecule: long non-coding RNA, 1644 nt
Organism: Bos taurus (domestic cattle)
Lineage: Eukaryota; Metazoa; Chordata; Mammalia; Artiodactyla; Bovidae
Source: Ensembl